GUGAGCGUGGAUGGGCGUAGUCGUGGCGUGAAGCGCGCAGGAGUUUGUGUCCACGCUCAGAUUGUGUGUCUCGUGAGCUGUCACUGAGUUGAGAGACGCGUCGCGGUGAGGAGAGCUAUAGCCGAGACUAAAUCACAGCACUUCUGCUGAGAAAAUGGGUGAGGAGGGGCCGCCCAGCCUGGAGUACAUUCAGGCCCGGGACCUGUUCCCCCAGAAAGAG
RNAcentral lists this long non-coding RNA (220 nucleotides) under Sinocyclocheilus anshuiensis. RNAcentral's name for it is "lncRNA (ENSSANG00000035567.1)". The record is from RNAcentral. Lineage: Eukaryota; Metazoa; Chordata; Actinopteri; Cypriniformes; Cyprinidae.